This 927-nucleotide ribosomal RNA is filed under the name Triticum aestivum (bread wheat). Its description in RNAcentral is "partial small subunit ribosomal RNA". The record is from RNAcentral. Lineage: Eukaryota; Viridiplantae; Streptophyta; Magnoliopsida; Poales; Poaceae.
AUGGAUAAACAUCAUAGAGACACUGCUACCUGGAAUUGCCUGGCAUCAGCCAUCAAGACAGUUAUAGACUCAACGAGAUGUACCUUGGGAAAUGGAUCCAAAAUCUCCUUCUGGCACGACUGGUGGCUGAAUUGUGGAAGACUGAAAUUCUCUUUCCCGAUUCUCUUCACCUUUGCACAAUCACCUUAUUGCACUGUUGCCUCGCAGUUCACUGAUGGACAAUGGAACAUCAAGCUACAUCCGAAUCUAACUAUGACAGCCACAAGAGAAAUGGAGGCCUUACUGACGAUUCUAGUUGGAGUGCAUCCAUCUCCUUCUCACGCAGACACAGAUCAGAGGAACCCUUCUAUGAAAUCUGGAAAGGUCACCACUGCAUUCUUCUAUGAGCUGCUCACUUUCAGGGGGAUCCUUUGCCCAGUUGCUCCAAAGAUAUGGGACACUUUGAUACCCAACAGACAUCGGGUCUUCCUUUGGCUGGCUUUGCGAGGUAGACUGAACACAAGGGAUAAUAUUCUCAAGAAAGGCUGGACGUCAAUCACAACACACAAUGGUUGCGACCUGUGCCCUGCAACCGAAAACAGCAGCCAUAUCAUCCUCAGAUGCAGACUUGCUGAUGCUGUUUGGGAGCGGGCAGGCGUACAGGACAAAGCAAGAAGAUCCAAUGAUCUCCAAGAUUUUCUACUCGCCACGGAACCCCCUGCAUAUGGCAACCUCCGGCAUAUUGUUUUUGCAGCCUGUGCCGUGUCUCUCUGGUCUGCCAGGAACGAGCAGGUCUUCCAACGCACACGAUGGUCCGCUGGCAAGGUGUUGAGCACGAUUGCAGACCUGCUGCGUCUGUGGAGUAAUCGUGCGAAUAACAAUGAGGAUAGGCUUAAGCUGUGUAAUCUUGCUGCUCUUUUCCAUACCCCUAUUUCUACCUUUUUUUAG